CCAUUUUAAUGAAGAAAUUCGAAGUGGAAGAACUAUAAAACAGGGAGGAGAAGAAAAUUCAUAGAAAAAGAUUCCUAGCUCGGAUUUUGACGUUCUAUAGCUUGUUUCGAAGAGCUUGACAAGGGCUGCGAUUUGAGUGGUAAGGUUCUUGAUUUCCUCUGCAAUAACAUGUUCAUAAAUGGCUUCGAUUAUAGCUUGUUUAUACUUACAUAAUUCUAUAAGUAUUAAGUUAGCUACAUGAUGGGUUUGUUGUGGAAGCUUGUAAGAUGAAAGUUCUUGACUUGUGUAUGGAACAACAAGGCUGGGUAUAUAGAGUAUGAUGAUAUUAAGUUGAUAUAAUUGCUUGGGUAAGCCUAUAACAUGAGUUUAACCACGGAAACGUUAAGAUUAUAGCCGUUAUGCUGGCCGAUUUACAAGAGACAGCUACUGUUACUGUUCACCUGUGAGUCUUCACUUCGAAUUUAUGAAGUUACUUUAUAUGGUUGGAUAGAUCUUGAUUAGUAGAUCGCGUGAGCGCUUGAAUCAUGCAAAACGGAUUUACGGUUUAGAAAUUAUGGCCAUUUUAGUACAGGACGCGCAGAAUCUUAGUUUCCGUAAGAAAAUGAACUUUGAGGUUACAAUUCGGUUAGUUCAAAGAUGAUAUAAAUCAUGGAAUAAUUUGAGUAAAUACUAGGGACAAAUUGGGAGGUAUAUGAGUUGGUUUCGUGAUAAAAACUCGAAUGGUUUAUAAGUGAAAAAUGUCGGAACCUAAAGAUGUAAAUAGUAACAAUACGUGAGACGAGAAACAGUUAGUACCAGAUCUCUUUAAAAUGAAAGGAUUAACAAUAAGAGUAAUUAGAAGGGACUUUAAGGGUAGGUAACACAUACACAAACUAUGAUAUAGAGUUAUAAAGGAUCUUAAUGAUUAAUUAUGUCCUUUAUAGGUGCACAGAAAGGUGCAGAAGGACCUUAAGGACAGGAAGUUGUGAUUGAGUUGCUGAAGUAAGGUGAGUAUACAUCAACACUACUUAUAUCUAUGUGAUAUGUGAAUUACGUGCUUUUAUAUGCUGAAAGUGAUAUAUUAGAAUAUUGAUUUGACUAUGUGAUUCUAUACAUGACUGAAGUUCUUUGAUGUCAACGUAGUGUGAUGAUAUAUCAAAGUACAUGUAUAUAUGGAAUGUGUAUUGACCUGUGAUUUCACGAACGAUACAUUAACAUAGAGUCUGCAUAUAGAACAGGUCAUAUGCACACCCUACAUUCAUUUGAUAGUGAUAAAUUAAAAAGUCAAAGUGACAGUCACUUGUGUAAUGGCCACCUUUAUAUAUGGAACCUACGGGUAAUUACGGAGCAGACUAUAUGUCAGCCAUAGACGGGGCCGACUUGUGUCGGACAUAGACGGAGCCGAUUUCCAUAGUCGGACAUAGACGGAGCUGGCCAGACACACAUGGAUCCUUUGAGGACAUGUGGAAACACGGGCAUUAUACAGUGAACUGUGCACAAUAGCCAAAGAAAGAGAAACAGAGAUGCAUGCAUGCAUAGAUACAAGUUCUUACUUUCAUGGCAUAUAUGAUUAACAUAUGUCAGUGCUUUAUGAAUAAGUAAAACAUAUAUGUGAUGAUGUUAUACCUUGGUGUAAUUUGGAUGAUGAUAAUAUUAUGAAUGAAAGAUAUUAAUUGCUCUCAUAAAUACGAACAGGAAAUAUAUAUUAAAAUGAAUAUUUUCUUACAAUUGUUUCGAGAACCUUACUUUCUUUUAUUUUCUGGAAGAUUUUACAAAGACGCUACAAGUUAUUUUCGGACAAUCUCAGUAUCUUUUACAAACUAAAGUUGAUGUAUAUUCAUUGAGUUGCGACUCAUGGAAAUCGCUCAAUUUUUCCAGGAUAUGAAUAGUUAGUAGUGUGUUUUAUAUGAGUGCUCAGUGGAGAUUGUAGAUAGUGCCUAAGAGACGGUGGUCCAGCAGGAUGCUCCAGACUCCUCCAUCAGCCGAUGCACAUAUAUGUAGUUUGAGAGAUUGUGUUUAUGUACUCUAGACUUAUCAAGUGUGCAAGAAAUCACGAAGAUAAAUUUAUGUUUAAAUUCUGAAUAUGUGUGGUGAAUAUGGAUGAUGGAAAUGUAUUGAAAUUUUAUGUUGCUUGGUAAAUGUUGUUGAAGUAGUUGAGAUUUUAUGUUCUGGUGAAGAUCAAGAUAUAGCCAAGCAAUAGUUGAUGGUUAUAUUAUCCACUUAUACAGGAAAAGAUAUUUCAUAAUAUUAUUAAAUUACAUGAUUUUGCUAGAAGUGCAUGAAAAUGAUUAUAUGGUACAAUGGUGUUACAUAAAAUGCCAAAGGGG
Molecule: long non-coding RNA, 2306 nt
Filed under: Daucus carota (carrot)
Lineage: Eukaryota; Viridiplantae; Streptophyta; Magnoliopsida; Apiales; Apiaceae
Description: long non-coding RNA (DCAR_LNC006859)
Source: RNAcentral